Molecule: unclassified non-coding RNA, 286 nt
Filed under: uncultured fungus
Lineage: Eukaryota; Fungi
Description: partial contains small subunit ribosomal RNA, internal transcribed spacer 1, and 5.8S ribosomal RNA
Rfam family: Eukaryotic small subunit ribosomal RNA (bases 1-73)
Source: RNAcentral
UCAAACUUGGUCAUUUAGAGGAAGUAAAAGUCAUAACAAGGUUUCUGUAGGUGAACCUGCAGAAGGAUCAUUAAAGAAUUUUUAGGGUUAGAUCUCGAUCUUCCCGAACCUUCUAUUUAUCCUAAACACCUGUGCAUUUGUGUUGUGUUCCCGCAAGGGAAUCUCACACACAAACAUUUUUAUCACACAAAACUCUAUGUUUUUUGAACGUUUAAAAUAAUUAAAAAAUAAAAGUAUAACUUUUGACAACGGAUCUCUUGGUUCUCCCAUCGAUGAAGAACGCAGC